GUUUCACCGUGUUAGCCAGGAUGGUCUCGAUCUCCUGACCUCGUGAUCCGCCCUCCUUGGCCUCCCAACGUGCUGGGAUUACAGGCGUGAGCCACCGCACCCGGCAGUGUGUGUGUAUUUUUAAUAGAGAUGGGUUUCACCAUGUUGGCCAGGCUGGUCUGGAACUCCUGGCUUCAAGUGAUUCACCUGCCUCGGCCUCCCAACGUGCUGGGAUUACAGGCCUGAGCCACCGCGCCCACCGCGCCCGGCCAAACAUUUAAAUUCUUGUUGAUGUAUCCAUUGUAACCACCAUAUCCGUGCCUCUCACAGGACGGGGUGGUUCUGCUCCAAAGGAACACAUGUUGAUGUCUGGAGACAUCUUUUAGUUGUCACCACAAGGGGUGGAGGUGUUGCUCUUGGUGUCUGAAGAAUGGAGGCCAGAGAUGCUGCUCAACACCGUGUGGUGCCCAGGAUGGCCUCACCCCAGAGGAUUAUCAGCGCCAAAUGUCAGCAGUGCUGAUGUUGUGAAGCCCUAUGGGUGAAGAAACGGAAUAUACCAUUUCCAGACAAGCCGAAACAAAAUAAAAAGGGGAAAUAAAACUCAUAGAUAAAACAAAAUAUAACCUUCAACUUUUAAAAUAGUAAAAUAGUUUUUAAAAUUAUUUGUAGAGGGCUGGGUGCAGUGGCUCACGCCUGUAAUCCCAGCAGUUUGAGAAGUGGAGGUGGGCAGAUCUCUUGAGCCCAGGAGUUCAUCAGCUCGGGUGACAUAGCAAGACCCCGUCUCUACAAAAUAUAAAAAAUUAGCCAGGCAUAGUGGCCCACGCCUGUAGUCGCAGCUACUCGGGAGGCUGAGGUGGGAGAAUCACUUGACCCUGGGAGGUUGAGGCUGCGGUGAGAUGUGAUUGUGCCACUGUACCCUAGCCUGGGUGACAGAAUGAGAACCCUGUCCCACCAAAAAAAAAAAUUAUUUAUAGAGACAAACUCCAGGUCUCAAGUGAUCCUCCUGCCUCAGCUUUCCAAAGAACUGGGAUUACAGGUGUGAGCCACCAUGCCUGGCCAUAAAUUAACUGGUUUUUGUUGUUGUUGUUGUUGUUUUGCGACAGGGUCUGGUUCUAUCACCCAUGCUGGGAUGCAGUGGUGCCAUCUCGACUCACUGCAACCUCCACCUCCCAGACUCAAGCCAUCCUCCCACCUCAGCCUCCUGAGUAGUGGGGAUUACAGGCACGUGCCACCAUGCCCGGUAUUUUUUGUAGAGACAAGGUUUCACCAUGCUGCACAGGCUGGUCUUGAACUCGUGAGCUCAAGUGAUCCAGCUGCCUCGGCCUCCCAAAGUGCUGAGAUUAAAGGCAUGAGCCACCGCACCCGGCUGAGAUACCAUUUUUUACUUGUCAGAUUAUGGAAGAUCAAAUAUGGAGAUGGGGGGUCUUACUGUGUUGCCUAGGCUGGUCUCAAACUCCUGGGCUCAAGCAAGCCACCUGCCUCAGUCUCCAAAGUGCUGGGAUUACAGGCAUGAGCCACCACACCCACCCUGGUAAAUGUCAUCCUGGGGAUCCUCUAGGAGAAAACCGCACAGCUGCUGAACAAUGUGCACAACGGAGACCAACUCAAAAGAAAUCCUGUUGCACGUGAGCAGAUUGGAGAGCAGUGGGGGGUCAGCGCAGUGGAACUUAUUCCUACUCCCACCCCAACAAGAGCACCAGGCCUGUGCUGGCCCAGCCGCCCCUCCUCUCUGGGCACGCAGAGGCUCCCACUUCUGGCCUGGCAGUGGGUGGGUCCUCCAAGUUGCUCUGGCCAAUGGGCUGCAGGUGAAGUGAGCCAGGAUUGCCACUGGAGACCCUCUGGUGGCUGCCCCUGCAGAUGGUGACUGACGUUCAGGCCUGAAGCCUCAGCCAGCCCCAGAGUGCAGGGCUCUUGGGAAGGAAGGCCAUGUUCAAGCCCAUGAGACUUUGGGCUGUGCUGGCUGCACAGAGACGGCCCCUCCUGCCUUUGUGGGUGGCCACAUAUAUCCUGAAAGGGAUGAGUGUAUGCACAGAAUCUCUGUGGGAGGAGACAAGAGAAAAUGGUCACAGGAGGCCCCCUGCAGAGGGAACUGUUCACCUACUUUUCACUGUAAACCCUUGUGGACAGCUGGUGUUUUCUGGAAAAUUGUGG
Molecule: long non-coding RNA, 2130 nt
Filed under: Homo sapiens (human)
Lineage: Eukaryota; Metazoa; Chordata; Mammalia; Primates; Hominidae
Description: HSALNT0396492
Source: RNAcentral